UGGUUUUGAACAAGAACAUUGAUAACUUCUUUGCUGAGAAUGAACAAUUGGCGUUCAAUCCCGGACUUGUUGUCCCCGGAAUCUACUAUUCCGAUGAUAAGAUGCUUCAAGGGAGAAUCUUUGCGUAUUCCGAUACUCAAAGGCAUCGUCUUGGACCGAAUUAUCUUCAACUUCCGGUCAACGCCCCCAAAUGUGCUCAUCAUAACAAUCAUUAUGAUGGAAAUAUGAACUUCAUGCAUAGAGAUGAAGAGGUGGGUUAUCUUUUCAUUUUGUUAUCUUUAAUUAGUUCAUAAAAAUUUGUGGGUUUCAUUAUAAGAAAAAGAUAUAACCAAAAUCAAAACUUUCUAAAAUACAUGCGAUGGAUUUCUUCCAGGUUGAUUACUUCCCUUCGAGGUAUGAUCGUGUUCAACAUGCUCAGAAAUACCCGAUCAAUUCUGCUAGGGUUACUGGAACCCGUGAAAGGGUUAGUUUCUUGUUUCCUUGGUUUCUUCUAUGACUCAGUUUUAUCAAAUACGAGCAUUAGAAAGAAAAAACACAAAAGUAAAUAACUAUGGUUUCUUUUCGAUGCAGACUGUGAUCCCAAAAUUUAACGAUUUCAAGCAGCCAGGAGAGAGAUACAGAUCCUGGGAACCUGACAGGUAGUUAUUAAUUAUUAUUAUAUCUCAUUUGUUUUUUCUAUAAUUGUUUCAAGAUUCCAUCAAUUUUAUAAACUGUUAAUUUUAUUUAUAGGCAAGAACGAUUCAUUCACCGAAUGGUUAAGAUGUUGUCCGACCCACGGGUCACCCAUGAGCUCCGCAGCAUUUGGAUCUCUUACUGGACCCAGGUAUGUUCUAAUAUUCAUGUAACAAUGUCCCCCUUUUUAAUCUUGUUUGGUUGUAAUUUUAAUUUUUGGGUGAUUUUUUUGCAGGCUGACCAGUCUUUGGGCCAGAAGAUAGCCUCAAGGCUCAGUGUGCGGCCCAGUUAUUGAACAUAAACGUUUUGGGACGAUUGUUUGAGUGUGGUCAACGGGUCAAUGUCAAGGUCAAGGUCUGUCUCUUAAGUUUGUUGCACAAAUGGUGUCAAUGUUGUUGUGUACUAUCUUUUUAUUAUGUAAUAUUUUCGUGUACUUUAAGGAGCCUGGAACUUAGAAUAAGAGCACACUUCGAUGUGCUGAGUUACUGUGUUUCAGGUUCGGGUCUGUAAAGCGAAAGCCUAUAUACUUUAUGGGUCACGUGUUAUGUAAUAUGUAAGUUGUUACUUUUACAUGUAAUCUUGUUCUUUUGCAAUCUAUUUGAUACUUGGAGUUGGAUUGUAAAUGUGGUGGGUUGAUUUUCUUCUUUAUGUUUGACACAUCACACAUGGAAUUGAUUGGGCUUACAUUUUAUCCAAAUGAAAAGCCGAAUAGCAACUCUGAUGGGCUUUCAUUUAGAUAAAAUAUUAAAUGUGACUGUUGUACUACGUAAUUUUUAAACCGGAUUUUCCAAAACAAAAUGAUGAUUUUAUACCAUGUCAUAACUCAUAAUGAAUGGUUGUGUAUGAAAUGUUAAAUAUUGCCCUACUUGGCUUGAUGUUAUACGGUGGAAGUUGGAAGCUGCUAUUCAAUUAUCUGUCUUUUACACUAGCCUCAACCUCAACAUGGCAUUUUGAUCACGAAGGUUUAGUUCCAUGUGAUUCAUUCAUGGUCAACUCCUUGAUCAUAUGGUAUGAAAUAGCUCUUGACAAAUUAUCAAUUCACUUGUUAUACCAUUUUUUUUAAUAACUAAUUUGAUUUUUGGGGUUUUCUUGGGCCGACAUAUGGCACAAGAUGCUUUAACCCCUUUUGUUUGCGUGCAGAGCCUGACAACACAACAUUUCACUUAUGAAGUUUGAUAUUGUUAUGCGAAAGGCCUUGAAGAUAAUCUCAAAUCAGGUAAUACAGUGUCAUUUCGAUUUUCUUAAAAUAUAUAUUUGUUCAUUGACUUUAAAUGUCAAAAAUCUUAAUCAAAUUAGACUUUUGUGACAUUUUUUUUACUAAAUACAAAGAAAUAAAUCAACAAACAUAUAGUCUACGUGAUAUAUUAUUAGCGUAUUUAAAUUCAUUACAGCAUACCAACCUAUUUUGACUAUGUUAGAUGUCAUUAGAUAGUGACUACAAUUUUAAGACGUGAGCCACUUAUAGUGUCCGGCUUAAACGCACUAUUAUUUAUUUAUUUAUUGGAUUUUGGGAGGCUUAAACGCACUAUUAUUUAUUUAUUUAUUGGAUUUUGGGAGCACUAAACAAAUAGAAAAAAGUAAAAAUAUAAUCAAAAUCUUCCACAUGAAAUACAAAGUAAACAUGUUAUAAAUAUCAACUAUAAUAAAAAUACACAAAUUUACGUGGAAACUUGUAGUAAAAUACCACAAGAUACCGACUCGACUAAUUGAAUCCAAAAUUAGAGAUGUGAUAUUAAAAAAGUAAUACCAUAAAACACGAUGUUGUGAAUGCUAAACGUCUUUCGACAAAAUAAUCGUCUAGCCAUUAAAAUACCUUACAAUAUCAAAUAUACAAAAAUGUCUUACGAUAUUAAAUGCUUGAACAAGCCGAACAAUUUUUAAAUUUAUUCAACGUUUACUUACCAAAAGGCUUCUAGUCCAGCGGUAUCCGGUAUUGCUCUCAUUUUUUGAGGUUGAGAUCAACGUUUAGUUAAACUCUUUCUUACUGAUAUUAAAGAAGUCUUAAAUAUAUAUGAAGGGUGAAUGAAUGAUCAGUACAAAAGUAAAUAUAUACGAUAAUUUGAAAACCAAAACGAAGAAAAAGCUCGAAACUCUAAAUGAGUUUCUUCGACAAAUGAUUGAUAGGAUAUCAAUAUCUUAAAACUCCCAUUACCAAAAGCCUAUAAAAAUACGUAGUAACUUCCAAACAUUUUGGAUCAUAUGAAGGUGGUUGAAGAUGUGCUUGAUCCCAUACAUGCAACAACAAUAAUUGGAAGGGCAAUGGGUAGUAUCUCCAAAGGAGUUCAACCCAAGAUGAAAUCAUACACAUUAUGGAUGAUGUCAAAUAUCCAGAUCUUUUAUUUAGGGGUGUUUGGGAUUGCAUUUUAAAAUUGCUUAUUUGCUUAUUGGCUUUUUCAAAAGCUAACAAGUAAAAAAAAGUGUUUGACAAACUCAAAAACACUUUUUAGAAUAGCUUUUCCAUAAGUUUCAAAAAACACUUUUUAAUAAGCAUGUAAAAAGUGACUUUUUGAAACUGUUUAUAGCUUUUCAACCAAAAUAAUUUCAAAAAACAUUUUUUAAACCAAACAUUACUUAUUGACUUAUUGACUUUUUUACUAUAAAAGCUUACCCAAAUACUUUUUUAUAAAACUCCUUUUAUCAUCGCUAUAAGCAAAUAAACACUUCUAUCUAAAAGCACUUUUAGAGUUCAAAAAACACUCCCAAAUACCCCCUAAGUCUGUUGCUUCCAAAAACAUUUAGUACAUCAUGAUAGUCGGCUUGAACGAGUAAUGCUCUCAUCUUGUCUUGUAAAGAUGAAGGUUAAUUCAACCAUUGACACUUUUGAUUAAAAUGACAUUUUGCAAUGGUUGUUGGAUUUAAUAGGGGUUAUUAUGGAUCAAAUGGUUUUCUUCAACAAAUGAGUUAUAAGAUAUCAAUAUCUCAAAACUCCUAUUACCAAAAGCCUUUAGAAGUACGUAGUACCUUCCAUACAUUUUGGAUCAUUUGUAGGUAGUUAAACACGCGUUUAAUCCAUACAUGCAUUGUUUGAAGGACAAAGGCCAGUAACUCCAAAAGAUUUUAACCCAAGAUGAAGUUAUACACAUUGUUUCAUUAAAAUGACAUUCUGCAAUGGUUGUUAGAUUUAACAGGGUUUAUUUAGUCUCUUCGACGAGGCAUUCCCACAAAUAUUUAUUCAACGAGAUGGAAUAAUCUAGUCUCGAUUAAGUUGAAUAUAUUCAUGUGGAGGGUAUUUAUAAAUCGUAUUCUAACAUGUGCUAGUUUAGAUGACCAAGGAAUACACUUGGGUUCUACUCUUUUUCCGCUUUGUGAAAAGGUCACAUAGACUGUCCCACAUUUGUUUUCUAUGUGCUUCGUUAUUCUAGACAUUUGGGUUCUUGUUGUGCGGUGGUGGAAUUUGGUUGCCCUUUUUAAUGCUAUGGUGGUUGAUUAGAUAAAAUAGGCAGAUAUCAUGAAGCUUAAUUUGGUGCAUCACAUAAUGUUAUGAUGUGGUUAUCAUCACCUCUUUUUUGGGUUGUAUGGAAGUUUCGUAAGUCCUUGCUCUUUGGAACCGGUAGACCUUAUAAAGUUAAUAUUUUUGAUGAUAUAGUACCGCAAUCAUUUUUAUGGACUUGUAAUAAGUGAAAGAACUAUAUCAUGAGUUGAGUUGGUUUAUUGCACAACCCCUCAUUAGUAUUUUACGGCCUUGCACUUUGUUCUUUUCUCACUAGCACCUUGUUAGUGUUUUAUAAAAUAUUCUAUGGUUCCAAAAAAGCUAAGACAAUAUUUAUAAACCUCUAACAAAAAUCCUAAAAUCUCUAAGUAACCAAAUAUAUGUAAAUGUUAGCUUUGGAUAAUAACUUAGGAUGGAAGUAAUCGGAUAACUCUAAUGUGGGAGAAUUCGAUUUACAUAUAAAAACAAAACUGGUGGAACCAAAAUCGUACCUCACCCGAUAAAACUCCUAAUUCAUUAAAGGAAAGAAAAAUAAAAGACAAUAAAAGAAAAGAAAGAAAUGAAUUGAUCUUCCUUUCCUUUCUCUCCGAUCACUUCCGAUUUGGGAGGACAAUUGGUAGAAAAAAUUAACAUGAAUCUUCCAUUCCUUUAUCUUUUCUUCUUUCCAAUAAUAAAUAACUCAAGAGCAAUGAUUUUUCCAAAUCUUCCCGCUUCCUUUCCUUUCUCUCAUGUAAUUAAGUUUUGGAGCGGAUCGUUAGAAAUUUGUAACAUAACAGCUUCAAAGUUUGUAAUUUUGUUCUUGAAUCUAGGCUUAAAUGUCCACGCCCUCUUAUAGUGUCCACAAGAACACCACCAUAUCACAAGGAAGUGAAAAAGGCUUUUUCUUUUGUGAAGAAAGAACGAUGAUAAUCACUAAAAUUACCAAAAUAGGAGGGGUCGAUAUAGUAGAAUGACCUAUUUUUCAAAUCUAUCACAAAAUAACCAUCUAGCAAAAAAGAUAUUCACAACGUUCUUUUAUUUUGUGAAUUACAUUUGAGGCCAUUUCAACAAUUCUUGGCCAAUUUUUCUUAAUUAGGUUUCGCAUAGCCUUUUGCACAAUCGUUGUCUAUCAUGAAUUUCCAUGGAAAUUAAACAAGUCCUUAAGCCUUGAUAUCUUCCAUCUUGAAACAUUAUUUCUUUCAAUCUUAAAUAAAUUCACAGUAUCGGGAAGUUAGAGUACUUAUUGGGUGUGAGAUGAAGUCAAUUGGUGUUUGCGUAUACGAUGUAAGGACUAUUGAAACGCCUUUUAGAUUUGUGAUCCGGUAUAUAUAACCCAUAUCAGAGUGUGCAUGUAUUUCCUUGCUCUUGUUCUAUCAAGGGGCAAAACAUCAUUACUGUCAUGGAGGAGGGUCAAAUCCUAUCUCAGCCUUAAAUAUUGCAUCAAAGUGGAUUAUGUGAUUAAAUAUUGCAUCAAAGUGGAUGACUUAUGCAUAAUAUGCUACACAAGAUCAUUAAAUAAAAAAAUUGUAUUAAUAAAAAAUCAUGCAAGAAACACUAUACUCUUAUGAUAUCCCAUGUAGUGGUCUCAUUAUGAUUAUCUUCAAUACACAAGUUCACCAACUUGUAUCCAUAUGCAAACUAUAUUACUAUAUAUCAACCGUAUGGGUUCCUAUGUAUAUGAACUUCAACUCAAGUCUAAAUUAAUAUUUGAUCGAAAAGGUUUUCAAGAAUUAGAUGCUUGAGGUCUAUUAUAAUGUUUGUAAUAUACAGAGUAUAAUAAUGAAAUAUAGUAAUCAAACAAUAUUUUUAUCAAAUAACAUCAUAACUCAGAGAAAGUACAAUCAUUAUAAUGAUUGGCAUUUGGAUAUACUAGUAACAAUUAUAAUCACUGCACAUGUUAUGUUCAGAAUCUAAGCUAAAUAUAUACUGUAUAUAUAAAAAUCGAUCAACAUUUGUUCAGAGGUUUAACCAAAUUAUCAAGCUAAACAUCCACAAAGGGUGAAUGAACUUCUGUAUUUUAGAUUUUUAGGCAACAAGUACUUUGGUCUUAAACAUACUUUUUUAAUAAAUGUAAUGUUACUAGCAUUUAACUAAGCUAAAUAUGAAGAAAAGCGAUUAACAAUUUUUACCAUAUUUGGAAGGUUGGUGUAUUUGCAUAUAUUGUUGAUGGGGCUUUUAUAAUUAUCUUAACCACAUCAAGUAUAUUUCUUAUCCCAGUAGUUGAGAAAUAUAAAACAAAAAGAUAUAUAUCUUUUAUAUCAUAUCAUGUUCAUAUAAUAUACAAUUAACUUAUAGAAACAUACCUGUUAUAAAUGGAAAAAACCUCAACCUUUUGGUGUGAAAACAUGACAACAAGGUUAUAAGUGGAAAAAACCUCAACCUUUUAAACUCUUGGCCUGACUGGUAUAUUUAAAGUUUUGAUUUCUAAAAUAAACAUUUUUAGUGGUUUUUAAAAAUUAUACAACCUACAAAUACAAACAAAAAAAGAGUUGUCAUGGGAAUAAAAAGGAAAUUGAAAGAUCCAGAAAUUAAUAAUUUUUGUGGCCAAAUUAAAACAAAAGAAACCUUAUCAAAAGGCAUCUAUAUGUGUUCACACCUAACAGAGUGGAUAUGGAGUUGAUGAGCACACGUAUCAAAGCAUUCAUGAACACGUGUCAUUUUAUAAGAGGUCCAUGUCAUCAACCUGACACGAGUGGUUCUUUUUUAAUUUAGAUAAGCUCCAAAAGUUGGGAUAAGGAAAUAGAGGUAUGGCGUUCUAAUUUAUUAAUAUUUUCCAAAAGACCUCUAAGUUAUAGAUAGUUUCAUAAAACACCCUAAUAACAAUAUGUAUUCAAUAAAACCCUUCAAUCUAAAUCACAAUUCACGUGUCUAAUUAUAUUGGGUUCUAGUGACUUACCUUUUUUCUUAUAUGAGAAUAAAUAAAAAUAAAAUGCAGGUGAUUAUUCUGUUAUAUAAAGUUCAGUUAGUGAAUUUGAAAAUGAACAUGUCUAUUGCUUGAAGUAUGACCAUUUGAGUGUGUUUAUGAAAACUAACACAAACUUUGGGGCACUUUAUGCAACUUGUUUAUAUUUUUAAAUAGUUUCAUAAACUCUAAUAUUUUAUUUAUGGCUUUAUAGCACUCCUACUCUCCUCGGUUUUUUCACCUCUACACAAAUUAUAAGAUCAUGGGACCCACACUAGCAUAAAAAACCGGUUUCCCUUACAUGAGAUUUUGUGUAUAAAGUAUCAGUCAAAAUAUCGUGUUUCUUUUCCAUCAUGUCUUCAUAUGUGAUCUUAAAAAGAUUAGUGGAUUAACCCAAUUGUAAAAAGUGAAUUUGCCUUGUUUUGGCUAUUGGAUCGGGUUUUGACAAGUUUUAGACUCCCGCAUUGCUUUAUCUUUCUGAUUUUAAAAAAUAAAAAUAAUUAUAUAAACUUUUUUUUUUUUAACAAAUUUUAAAAUCCGGCAUUGCUUUAUCUUUUUUGAUUUAAAGAAAAAUAAUUAAAAUAACUGUAAAACUUUUACAAACACGAUCACCUUAAAGAACGAUACAUAUCAUCACAAAUUCAUGAUUAUCACAUCUGCUGCCCUACUUUGUGUUUGGAUUUCUUAAUUGUUUCUAUGUUAACUCGAUGUGCUAGUUUGUGUUAGAAAACUGAGGUAAACCGAUUGCUUGAAUUCUCUGAAAGUCGUGAUGUACUUUCAGAUUGAAAUAUUUCGAUGACACAAUUGAAAAGUCAACCGAAUAAAACUCGGAGAAUGAAGAAUGUUAUGAACUUCUCGUUUACCAUAAAAAAUGAUAAAAAACGAGAUACAACUCCUUAUGUCUGGAAACUGCAAAAACUGCCACAAGGCAGUUUCAAACCUGUCACAAAUCUAUCAUAAAAAACUAGGUCCAAGAUAAGGGUAAAAAACAGGUCCACAUGGGUUUUGCUCCUUGGACCCCACAAGGGGUUGCCAUCCCCUUGGACCUCGUUACCAAUGACAUUGCUCCCGGACCCCGUUGGUUCAUGAGUUUUGCCUCUAAAUAGCAAUAUACUUUCAAUCGAGACAAAUUUAAACAAAUGUACAAUCUAUACCAUCCUAAAUUGUUUAAUAUUUAUCAAGGUAACAAUGAUCAAAACAAGUUAAUCUUAUUAAACUUAAAUAACAUUGAUGACACAAAUCACCAACAAUUCUCUCUCAAUAAGACUACUAAUUCUUACUGUUCAUAUAGUAUGAUAUGAAUAUACCACAUCAAUUCGUUAUGUAUGGAUGAUGAGAUUUCAUUGAUACAGAGCUAAUUCCAAUAGAGUUAUUGGAGGGUCCCAUUGGCGUGCAUCUAGUAGGAAUUGAACCUACGAAUUCGUCAAUUAUGAGUUGGGUGCUUUAACCAUUCAACCACGUUCUUUGAUUGCUCAUAUUGUUGGACAUAUGCACAUAAAAUACAUAUAACACAACUAUAUAUAACACAACUAUUUGUGAUUGUUCUACUUUAUAAAAGAACUAUGAAAUUAAUUUGAAUGUGUAUUAUUUUCUGCUUCCAUAUUGUUGGUAGAAAUCGACACUUCUCCUUGGACAUUGUGCCAAAAGAUAAAGCCUGUAGAUUUUAUAAUAACAGAUAUUUUUUUUUUCACUUUAAAUAACUUCGUAAACGUAACUGAUUUAAGUCAUUUGAGUGUAAAUUGAGCCAACCAUAUCUUUUAACCGGCACACGAGAUAAAAGGAGUGAUAAAUACAAUAUCAUUUUCUCAUGAUAUUUUGAAUGCACGCGAAAAAUAGAAGAAGAUAAUUGAGAAAAUUUUAUUUUUUGUUCCUAGAGGCUAAAACUUAACCCCAAACCGCUUGUAUAUAAAAAGUCUAUCAACAUUUCGUAAGAGCAAAAGAGUCUCUUCCACAAGAAAUCAUCACAGCUUUCAUCCACCCUCACAUCCAUGGAUCCUUACAAGGUAGAACUCUCGUAUACUGUUUUUGAAGCUUAUGUACUACUUCAGUGCUGUUUCCGCAACUCUUUGACUCACUUAUCUCUAUAUGAAUCGUGUUUGUUAGGUUAUAUGAUUUAUAUAUUGCAAUUUGUUGUAUUUGAAUUGAUAUACAUGUUUGACCACUUGCUUUUGCGUAGUUUUUGAUUCAAUUGAUUAUUGAUGAUUGAGGUGAAGGUUUUUCCUGAAUUAGAUUACUUUUGCCCUAAAUCAUCAGAUUGAAAGCAUGUUGAUUUUGAACUGUAGUGAUCGAAUUCGAUUCACAAGCAGUUCCAUCCAUGUAUGUUUCCUUUUAAUAAAGAAUAAAUUUGAUUUUUCUAUGGUUUUAUUUUAAGAUACGGAGUGAAGCUCUGAUUCCAUGUUAUAUAGGUAAUUUCUAGAUUGCCUAUUCAUUUGAGCAACUUAAGAUCCAAUUUUUAGCUUUCUUUUAUCAGCCGAGUUUCUGUUUUGCAUAUAUCAAUCCGUAGGAACACUUGAUUCUUUAACCUUGUAUCAAAUUGCAAUAUCAAUGUUUUUUUUUUUUGGGGAUUAACUUAUCUAUUGUGCUGAUAUUCUGAUAUUACACAUAUCACACCCUACAAUUUUGCAUACCAUAGUUCUACUUACUCAUAGAUUUUACCUUUUUGGCUGAUGCAGUAUCGGCCUUCAAGUGCUUACAAUGCCCCAUUUUGGACUACCAAUUCUGGUGCUCCAAUUUACAACAACAACUCAUCAUUGACAGUUGGCACAAGAGGUACUUAAGUUUGGUAUCUGUCAUCUUCUUCUCAUCAAACUUGGAAUUUCUUGUUGGACUCUUUCAUCUUAGGUUAUGUGAAUAUAAAUCUCAUCCACUAAUCAUAAUUCCUCUUUUGUCAUAUUAUAGGCCCAAUCCUUCUUGAGGAUUACCAUUUAGUGGAGAAACUAGCCAACUUUGAUAGAGAACGCAUCCCUGAACGUGUUGUCCAUGCAAGAGGUGCCAGUGCAAAGGGUUUUUUCGAGGUCACACAUGACAUUUCUGGCCUCACAUGUGCUGACUUUCUUCGUGCCCCUGGUGUCCAAACUCCUGUCAUUGUUCGUUUCUCCACUGUUAUCCAUGAACGUGGAAGCCCUGAAACUCUCAGAGACCCUAGAGGCUUUGCAGUAAAGUUCUACACCAGAGAGGUAAAGGACCCCCNNNUCAAUUAUCUUAUAUCUUCUUAUUGACACUUGCAGGGAAAUUUUGAUUUGGUGGGGAACAAUUUCCCAGUGUUCUUUAUUCGUGAUGGGAUGAAAUUUCCAGACAUGGUUCAUGCUUUGAAACCAAACCCUAAGUCUCACAUCCAAGAAGACUGGAGAGUUCUUGAUUUCUUUUCUCAUCAUCCUGAAAGUCUACACAUGUUCACAUUCCUUCAAGAUGACAUUGGUGUCCCACAAGAUUAUCGCCACAUGGAAGGCUCAGGAGUCAACACCUACACCCUAAUCAACAAAGCUGGAAAAGCAUACUAUGUAAAAUUCCACUGGAAACCAACAUGUGGGGUCAAGAGUCUUCUAGAAGAUGAAGCAAUCAAAGUUGGUGGAGCCAAUCACAGCCAUGCAACACAAGAUCUUUAUGACUCCAUUGCAGCUGGAAACUAUCCUGAAUGGAAGCUUUUCAUUCAGACCAUUGACCCUGAUCAUGAAGAUAGGUUUGACUUUGACCCUCUUGAUGUCACCAAGACAUGGCCUGAAGAUAUUCUGCCAUUGCAGCCUGUGGGGAGGAUGGUUUUGAACAAGAACAUUGAUAACUUUUUUGCUGAGAAUGAACAGCUGGCGUUUUGUCCUGCUAUUAUUGUUCCUGGUGUUUAUUAUUCUGAUGAUAAACUGCUUCAGACACGUAUUUUCUCUUAUGCUGAUACACAAAGACAUCGCCUUGGACCUAACUAUUUGCAGCUUCCUGCAAAUGCUCCUAAAUGUGCUCAUCAUAAUAAUCACCAUGAUGGAUUCAUGAACUUCAUGCAUAGAGAUGAGGAGGUAUGUUUUUCUAUACUUAUAUUUUUAUAAAAAUAAUAAAUAUGGUUUUUUGAGUUUUGUUAAUUUUAUAAUCUUUUUAUUCGUUCAGAUCAAUUACUUCCCUUCAAGACACGACCCUGCUCGCCAUGCUGAACAGUACCCUAUUCCUCCUGUUAGGCUGUCAGGAAAGCGUGAUAAGGUCAGUUUAUUUAUUCUAUUUUUCUUUUAAAAUUUUUGUUCAAAUUGUUACUAAAAUGGGCAAAAUAAUUAAUUUUUUCCAACACUUGUAAAUUAUAAUUGUAGUGUGUGAUUGAGAAAGAGAACAACUUCAAGCAGCCAGGAGAGAGAUACAGAUCCUUUGCUCCAGACAGGUUUUUAUAUUUUUUUCUCAAAUUUCUUUUAUUUUUUUUUUAAUUUCAUCAAUAAACUAAUGUAGUUUUUUUUUUUUUUUUUUUUUUUUUUUUUUUUUUUUNAAUUCUUUUACAGACAAGAACGGUUCAUUAACAGAAUUGUUGGUGCUCUGUCUGACCCGCGGGUCACCCAUGAGAUCCGCACAAUUUGGAUUUCAUACUGGUCUCAGGUUCGAAAUAUUAAUAAAUUAAAUCCAAAUAAUCUACAAAAGAUUAAGAGUAAAUUACAAAACUUGUCCUUGUGCUUUCUGAAGCUAAAACGUUUUUCAGUUUUGAUCCUUAUUGCAAGGUUCAAAAUCGAUAUAAAACCUUGAAAUAAGGACCAGAAUUGGAAGAAAAAAAAAGUUUCAAUUUUGGACUAAAACUUAAAACAAAGUAAGAAUCAAAAAGUACAGGGACCAUUUUUGUAAUUUGCUCAAAGAUGAAUGUUUUAAAUUCUUACAAUUUACAAAAAAAAUGGAAUGUUGUUGCAGGCUGACAAGUCUCUGGGGCAAAAGAUAGCUUCUCGCUUGAAUGUGAAGCCAAGUUACUGAAGGGUAAAAUUGGAAAAAGCCUUUGGGUUGUGGUAUACAAAAUAGUUUAGAUAAGUUUGUUUGAGUCGAAUGUGUUGUUAUCGAAUUGGUGUUGGAGUCGUUUCUUUAAUGGUUGUAAUGUGGAAUAACUUUGCAUGAUGCUAAUGAUGUGAUUGCUUCUUCCAAAUAAAAAU
RNAcentral lists this long non-coding RNA (12082 nucleotides) under Lactuca sativa (garden lettuce). RNAcentral describes it as "long non-coding RNA (LSAT_LNC007930)". Lineage: Eukaryota; Viridiplantae; Streptophyta; Magnoliopsida; Asterales; Asteraceae. The record is from RNAcentral.